GUGCCAGCAGCCGCGGUAAUACGGAGGGUGCAAGCGUUAAUCGGAAUUACUGGGCGUAAAGCGCACGCAGGCGGUUUGUUAAGUCAGAUGUGAAAUCCCCGGGCUCAACCUGGGAACUGCAUCUGAUACUGGCAAGCUUGAGUCUCGUAGAGGGGGGUAGAAUUCCAGGUGUAGCGGUGAAAUGCGUAAAGAUCUGGAGGAAUACCGGUGGCGAAGGCGGCCCCCUGGGAGAAGGAUGGCGGUUCGGUGGGAAAGCGGGGGGAGCAAACCGGGAUUAGAUACCCUUGUAGUUC
RNAcentral lists this ribosomal RNA (293 nucleotides) under uncultured microorganism. Its description in RNAcentral is "partial 16S ribosomal RNA". It matches the Rfam family "Bacterial small subunit ribosomal RNA", at positions 505 to 796 of the family's 1533-position model. The record is from RNAcentral.